This 733-nucleotide ribosomal RNA is filed under the name fungal sp. DsppF18. RNAcentral's name for it is "eukaryotic LSU rRNA". The stretch from base 341 to 494 matches the Rfam family "5.8S ribosomal RNA". Lineage: Eukaryota; Fungi. The record is from RNAcentral.
UGCGGAAGGAUCAUUACAGUAUUCUUUUCAAGCUGAAUCGAUUACUUGUUUUCUGUUAUGGGUUCUUUUGUUUUACUGCGCUGCUGAAAUAUUGCGUGCGCGGUUUAGCAUGGGAGCUUGGAGAAUAAGUUAUCUUUUCAUUCAAAGCUUGGAAAACCUCCUACACACUUUGUUUUCUUAUUAGAGACAAAUUUGCUUUGGUUAUCUGCUGCGUAAAACCAGUGUGAUAGCCAAAGGUUUUAACAAAACUCUUGUUUUUAUUCUUUUCGGAGAAUUGAAAACGUGUAUUUUAAACAAACAGUCAUUAAAUUUAUGGAUUAAUUUCCUAACUAAAAUUUAAAACUUUCAACAACGGAUCUCUUGGUUCUCGCAUCGAUGAAGAACGCAGCGAAAUGCGAUAAGUAAUGUGAAUUGCAGAUUUUCGUGAAUCAUUGAAUCUUUGAACGCACAUUGCGCCCUCUGGUAUUCCGGAGGGCAUGCCUGUUUGAGCGUCAUUUCCUUCUCAAACCCUUUUUUGGGUCUGGUGAUGGGUGAUACUUCUAGCAAUAGAAGUUCGCUUGAAAUGUAUCGGCAUGAGUUUUUGUUUUACAAACUAUAGUUGUUUAUUCAAUGUAUUAGGUUUUAUCCAUCGUUGUAUUAACUUCUAAAGUAUGUAGCAAAGUUUUGGCUCUGCCUAACAAACUUUUAAUCAUAAAGUUUGACCUCAAAUCAGGUAGGACUACCCGCUGAACUU